GGGUUCCUGGACCAGGAGGGAAAUGGAGAGUCCAGCCAGGGAAGGCCCAGACCCCUUCCUGCCUCCAGGGUAGCAUUUGCAGCCAAUGGGUAAUUAUGAAAGGUGUGCGAUAAAGUUCAGAGGCACACAUGUGGAUCCAAACAGGCAUAGCAAGACAAGGAGCCAGAAGGCCAGGCCACGCACAGUGGAGAGCACGAGAAUCGAAGGAAAUCAAAAUAUGUGUUUAUAUCCAUAGGACUGCCUGGAGGCAGAGGCCAGGAGCUGGGGAGUUAGGCUCCAGGAGGCUGAGGUUCUUGGGUCUCAAGGUCCCAGCCAGCUCGGCUCCCCACACUGCUCCCCACGGUCUUGAUGUGUCAGUUGCAGGAAGUCAUGAUUUUGAAGGAGGCAGUUCUCAGAACGUGAUGCUCUGAUUGGCCCCCAAACCUCCAUCCUGAGCUCCAGCCUCCGCCCUCCUGAAGCCGUUGGAUUACCUGCUGCUGCUAUGAACAAGGAGGGUCUUCAGACAGCUUCUAGAAUUUCAAGCUGGAAACGCUCCCAGGGAGAAGACAUGGUCAACCCUACAUCUCUGGUGAGGCCCAACCACCCUCCUGGAACUCAGAGGCAGCCUGAGGGCUCUUCCACACUGCUUUCAGCUCUUCACCACUGUGCCGAAGACUACGAGGAACACGUGAGCGCAUGACUCAGAAGCCUCAGGGAAGAUGGAGGGCGAGGUGCUGGCAAUUUUUCCGGCAACUCUUUGCGUGAGAUGACAUGCAACAGGGAGCAGGGCUAUUCUGGCCUUGUGGGGAGAGAGAUUGGAAGACGUGACAUUUGUUCCACAGCUGGCUGGCGGCACUGGUUCUGAGCUUUUGUAGAGAGGAGGUGAACAGGCAGCAGCAGAAGUGUCCUUAUAGAAAGGGGAGAUGUGGACACAGAGACAGAGGCGCAGAGGAAAGAUGAGAAGACGCACAGGGAGAAGACCGCCGUGUGACUGGAGUGAUGCAUCCACCAGCCAACGAAGCCCCAGGAUUGCCAGGAACACCCAAAGCGACAAGAGGCAAGGAAGAAUUCUCCCCUAGAGCUGUCAGAGGAAACACAGCCCUACGGACACCUUGAUCUCAGACUUCUGGCCUCCAGAACUGUCACAGAAUACAUUUCUGUUGUUUUAAGCCACGCAGCUUGUAGUGCUGUGUUUUGGUAGCCAAGAGAGUGCUCAGCCAGUGCUCUCUCUGAGGGGACACCAUGAGCUGGUUCUGAGAGUAUGGAAGCAACUGGAAGCUGGAACCAACCACUACUAGAAUCACCUGCCACUACUAGGAUGGAACACUCUGGUUGGCAUGACGCUGACAGAGACAAUGAGCAAAACAGAAGUGCCCUCUCUCUCUUCCAGCCUUCCUGUCACCUCUUAUUUGCUCCUUGGCCAAUGCCCAUGUAAUGGGGGGCCAGCUGUCAGGGGAGAAACAUUGUGUGCCAAGUCCUGGCUUCACAGAACUGACUCUGGCAGGUGGAGGGGGAGCUGAGAGACAAGAGCCUAGUACCCAGCAUCGGGCAUGGAAGCUUGGGUGGGGAAAAAAACCUCAUCUUUAUUUUCAUUAUCCUCUCUCUGAGAUCUAGCAUUCCCUUCCCUUAUGAAUAUGGGCCAAAAAUAAAUGGAGAAAACCACAGUAGUAUUAGCAGAACCUAUAACUCUGUCACUAAUGUUUUCAUUGCACGUUAGAGUUGCUGCAGAUAUUUCAAAUUAUCAUUUACGCUUAUCACCACUACUUAAAAAUUACGGUAGGUGUUAGACUUGCUGCUAGAUCUGGUAAUUCAAUAUGCUAAUAAAGGGGCAAACGGAUUACCAGCAUGAUUUUGUUUUUUAAUGUUUUCAUAACUUUAUUUAGUGUAUGACUUCCUUUUGUACUUGAGUUAUUAUUGUAUUUUAUGCAUUAAAAAUCUUAUUUUGGAAAGAUGACCAAAGACUUCACCAGACUGACAAAGGAGUCCAUGGCACCAAAAAAUAGCUGAAGUAUCAUUAGGAGGAAGGAAGGAUAACCAGGCAGAGCAGAGGAUUUUGGGCAGUGAAACUGUUCUGUAUGAUACUGUAAUGAUGGACACGUGACAUCAUAUAUUUGUCCAAACCUGCAGAAUGGACAACACCAAGCAUGACCCUAACGUAAACCAUGG
This is a long non-coding RNA of Equus caballus (horse), 2145 nucleotides long. The record is from Ensembl. Lineage: Eukaryota; Metazoa; Chordata; Mammalia; Perissodactyla; Equidae.